Molecule: ribosomal RNA, 443 nt
Filed under: uncultured bacterium
Lineage: Bacteria
Description: partial 16S ribosomal RNA
Rfam family: Bacterial small subunit ribosomal RNA
Source: RNAcentral
CCUACGGGGGGCAGCAGUGGGGAAUAUUGGGCAAUGGAGGCAACUCUGACCCAGCAACGCCGCGUGAAGGAAGAAGGCCUUAGGGUUGUAAACUUAUGUUGUAAAGGAAGAAAAGAAUGACGGUACUUUACAAGAAAGCCCCGGCUAACUAUGUGCCAGCAGCCGCGGUAAGACAUAGGGGGCAAGCGUUGUUCGGAAUUACUGGGCGUAAAGGGAGCGUAGGCGGGAGAUUAAGUUAAGAGUGAAAGCCUUGGGCUCAACCCAAGAAAUGCUCUUAAUACUGGUUUUCUAGAGUGUGGGAGAGGUAAGUGGAAUUCCUAGUGUAGCGGUGAAAUGCUUAGAUAUCACGAAGAACUCCGAUUGCGAAGGCAGCUUACUAAACUGCCACUGACAUUGAUGCUCGAAAGUGUGGGUAUCAAACAGGAUUAGAUACCCCUGUAGUC